UACGGAGGGUGCGAGCGUUGUCCGGAAUCACUGGGCGUAAAGGGCGCGUAGGCGGCCUGAUAAGUAGGGGGUGAAAUCCUGCGGCUUAACCGCAGGGCUGCCUUCUAAACUGUCAGGCUAGAGCACAGUAGAGGCAGGUGGAAUUCCCGGUGUAGCGGUGGAAUGCGUAGAGAUCGGGAGGAACACCAGAAGCGAAGGCGACGACCUGGAUAGAUACUGACACUCAACUGCGAAAGCGUGGGGAGCAAACAGG
Molecule: ribosomal RNA, 253 nt
Filed under: uncultured bacterium
Lineage: Bacteria
Description: partial 16S ribosomal RNA
Rfam family: Bacterial small subunit ribosomal RNA
Source: RNAcentral